Molecule: non-coding RNA, 1271 nt
Organism: Arachis ipaensis
Lineage: Eukaryota; Viridiplantae; Streptophyta; Magnoliopsida; Fabales; Fabaceae
Source: RefSeq, a predicted model, not a curated record
CCUAAAAAUGAACCUCCAAAACAAAAUUACAAAUCUUUCUCCGUCCAACAAUAAUGUCACCUUUAUUUUCUACAAAAUUUGUUCUAAUAGUACUCCUUUUGCUAUUAAUUAAGUGUUCAAUUUUAAAAUUUUACCCUUUUAUAAAUAAUUUUAUAUUAAAAAAUUCAGGUUACUAGCAUUGAUUAUUUCUUUACUGGUUUUACACUUUAACUCAUUUUCUCAAUCUUUUAAGCGUUCUUCUAAUCCUAUAGCCACUAAUGUAAUGUAUUAAUGUGCACUUAUAAUUUCAAUACUUUACCAUCAUUUUCUUAAUCUAUGUGUCCAUUUAAUUAAAUUGGACACUAAAUAAAUAUCCUUGAUAGAAUUAGUGAGGUUUAAAAGAUUUUUAUAUAGUUUUACCAAAUUUUUAAUUAGGUUCUUAUACGUUUUUUUAAUUAGGUCUCUAUAUCAUAAUUUUUUUUUUCAAUUUAAUGUCUAUCGUGACAAAAACGUUUGAAAUAACAGAAUAUUCUAUUAAAAAACAAAUAUUCUCACUAUUAGAGUUAAAAAUCUAAUUAAAGACACCUCAAUUUUUCUAAAAUUCUAAAAUAACUCUAGACAUAGUACCACGCUCACACCUUGCCCUAAGUUCUUUGUUGACCUCCUCUGUUGCUGCGUCUCCUCUGCUCGACACCCGUCGCGUUCUCGGCAUCCGUCGCAUGGUCGUCCGCCGUCACUUCUCGUAACCCUGGUGUGCUCCACUACUCACAUCUCGCCACGCCGCUCCUCCGUCCCUCCCUUUUCGCUCGCGUUUGUAGUCGCCAUUCCCUUCACUCAUGUCCUAUCUCUACUGCGUUGCUCACGUUCCGUCAUUGCACCAUCCCAUUCACUGCUGUUUUGCCGUCAUCAUCCCUUUUGUUGGUAUCCCAUCGCUGCGCCCUCCCCUUUGUUUGCGUUUGUCGUUGUCAACGAUUGUCCCUUCUCCUUUAUUGAAUUUGAUUUUGGAGAUAUAACUACUCUAAUGGAUGGUGAAGGCAGCAAGAAUGUUGGACAGUUCAUACAAUUAUUUUGAGAUCAAGCAUGACUUCUAGGAUAUGCUGCUGUUGUGAUUGUUGAAAUUGCUAUGCUUUUUACAUUUAUUUUUGUCCAACUCCAUUGAUCAUGUAUUCUACAAUGCAUCUGUCAUAUAGAGUUUGUCUUUUAGUUUCAUGUUCAACUGCUCAAGAUGUCACUACUCUUCUACUCACUACUCUUCAUAGGUUCAUAUGAAGUUUGUCCUUUAACUCCUCCUA